RNAcentral lists this transfer RNA (77 nucleotides) under Thermus sp. Its description in RNAcentral is "tRNA-Arg". It matches the Rfam family "tRNA". Rfam says of the family: Transfer RNA (tRNA) molecules are approximately 80 nucleotides in length. The record is from RNAcentral. Lineage: Bacteria; Thermotogati; Deinococcota; Deinococci; Thermales; Thermaceae. RNAcentral also lists the same sequence under 11 other names.
GCGCCCAUAGCUCAGCUGGACAGAGCAACGGACUACGAAUCCGUGUGUCGGGAGUUCGAAUCUCUCUGGGCGCGCCA